Peromyscus californicus insignis is the source of this 13577-nucleotide long non-coding RNA. RefSeq lists it as uncharacterized. The transcript is spliced from 2 exons. NCBI's taxonomy places the organism in Eukaryota, Metazoa, Chordata, Mammalia, Rodentia, Cricetidae. The record is from RefSeq and is a predicted model, not a curated record.
CUACAGAUGGAGCCAACCCAGGCAGGCUCCAACUUUGACUUCUGCACUGUCACCCAGUGCUGAAGCUGUGUGGGUUUCUGUCUCAGCCCAGAGUGGGAUGCAGCCUCACUGAGCCAUCUUUCAGUAUAUCCUUUCUGGUAUUCACGGAUUUGUUACCAAAAUAAUGAUUGUCUUCUCAGUGUUGUUCUGUCCCUGACAAUUUCAGUUGUUUAUUUUUCAUUUUUUAUUUUAGUAUAUAUAUAUUUUAUUUUAUAUCUAUCUAUAUAUUUUAUUUUAGUAUAUAUAUAUUUUAUUUUAGUAUAUAGUUAUUGAGACAGUUUCACUAUAUAGCUUGUCCUAGAACUGGCUGUUUAGACUAAGCAGGCCUUGAACUCACAGAGAUCCACCUGCCUCUGCCUUCUGAAUACUGGGAUUAAAGAUGUGCACCACCAUGCCAGGCUCCAUUCCCAACUCCCCAUUCCCCUACCCAGAUAAGGUUUCUCUGUGUAACAGCCUUAGCUGUCCUGGAACUUGAUUUGUAGACCACGUCGGCCUGGAACUCAGAGGUCUGCUUGCCUCUGCCUCCAGCUUAAAUGAUACUGAAGGAUCUUUGGACCUAUGAGUGGCCUUGUUCUUCUCCUGUUGGCUGGAUGACAUACCAUCAUCUAUGCCCAGCUGAUCUGGAAAGAUGUGUAAGUAGUUUUUAGUUUUUCUAGAUCUGAGAAUGUGACCCAUAUGAGCUCCUGAUGACUUUAUGUCACCUGAUAGUGCCCAGUGAGGACAGACAGGGUGCUUGGCUGUGAUGCAUCCCUGAGAAAGAAAGAACCUGACCUCAUUUCCCCCAUGUCUAGUGGAAAACGUUGGGCGCUAGAUAAAUGACUAUUUUUGUCUGAGUGACUGGUUACUGCUUGUCUCCUCAUUUGUUUCACUUUAGAACGAGAACUGUUCACAUGCUGGUUUCCCUGCAGUAUCCUCUUGCUGUCUGCUCCCUGGGUACUGGCAAGACUUCUUUUCUUUAUGCUCCUCCGCCCUUACUUGGUGUUGAAGGUAGGGCCAGCCUUAUGUGUAUAAGUGUUCUACCAUACUGCUCUAGCCCUUGGAAAAAAAAUAUUCUAGAAGCUGGAAAGAUGGCUUAGCAGUUAAAAGCACUGGCUGCUCUUGCAGAGGACCUGACUUUGAUUUCCAGCACCCACGUGGCAGCCCACAGCUGUCUGUUACUCCAGUUUCAGGGGAUCUGAUGCUCUUCUGGUCUCUGAGGGCACUAGGCAUACACAUGGUACAGACAUACAUGUAGUCAGAACACUCAUACACACAAAACAAUUGGGGGGGGGGCGCGGGUUUCGAGACAGGGUUUCUCUGUAUAGUUUUGGUGCCUGUCCUGGAUCUUCUGUCCUGGAUCUUGCUCUGUAGACUAGGCUGGCCUCGAACUCACAGAGAUCCGCCUGGCUCUGCCUCCCGGAGUGCUGGGAUUAAAGGCGUGUGCCACUGCCGCCCGGCACAAAACAAUUUUUAAAAUUUUUAAAAAAUUAAUUUUAAGACACUGGGUUAUCUUAAGAUAUCCCUGAGGUUGUGGUCCUCCUACCUCAGUCUCUCAGGUACCUGGGGUAACAAUGCCAUUAAGCCUGGCACAUACCAGGCUUGAUGUCCAGUGUGUUCUUGGCUGGGUGCUUACAGAGUUUCGUGCUGCUCUGCUGUGUGUGUGUGUGUGUGUGUGUGUGUGUGUGAGAGAGAGAGAGAGAUAUUUGGGAACUGGGUGUUUUUCCAGUUUGUCUAAUACAAUAGUGGUCAGACUGAAUGCUUCCUGCUGCGUUUUUCCACUAUCUUGAGAGCUGUCCUCCUCUCCAUCUGUGAGCAGAAAGAGCCCAUCUUUUUAUUAUUCUCCCAUGGUAUGUUGCAAAACAUUAAGUGUGAGCUGGUUUCCUGUGGCAAAAAGUUGACUUUGAUUUGUUCUUUUUGAGGUUACUGUGAGUUUAUCAUAACAGGAGUGCUAAAAAUAGCAGCUCUAGUAUGGAAACUGUUCACUUACCAACAUGGACAGUAACACGCAGGCUUAGCUGAGAGCAGGAAGGAAUGGACCACAUCUCAUGAUGAGUUACGACUAUCCUAGGGUCCUGCUGUCCUCACUCUCUGAGUCUGUUCUAAUGAGCUGUGGAAAAAUACUUAGCACAUACUCCAGCCUCAGAACUGAAGGCAAAAUAACCCAAGAUCAAACAUUUGGGGCGCAUCUGGUGUUUGCACGAUCUGUAGCUGAGAAUCAGAGGAGGAGAAAUCGAUUUCCUUAGCAGUGGCUUCACACUAACACCUCGUGAGGAAAGCCCUAAUGUAGGCUGCAGAAGAAACUGCUCUGUCGUGUUGGUGUUCAGUAUGACCAAAUUACUCUGCAGUGAUCAAAAGCAGACCGUUAAGAGCAUUCCAGGAACUGGGAGUGUAGGCACCUCUACAGAUACAUAUAGACUUGAACAGGUUUUGCUAAGAGGUAAAGAGAAAGAUUGUACACAGCAGCUGGAAGCCAGGGCAGGGUGUAAUGACCAUGGCUUCCCAUUGGAUAGGGUAUCAGAACCAACCGGAGAAUCUUCAGAAAGUGCAAAUCAACUACACACACACAUAAAAUAACUUAAAAAGAAAAAAACCUUGAGCUGGGCAGAGUGUUAUGCUUCUACUACUUUUACCAGAGAGAUGGAGGCAUGAAGAUCACUUGCAUUCUUUUCUUUUUUUUUUUUUUUUUUUUUUUUUGGUUUUUCGAGACAGGGUUUCUCUGUGUAGCUUUGCGCCUCUCCUGGAACUCACUUGGUAGCCCAGGCUGGCCUCGAACUCACAGAGAUCCGCCUGGCUCUGCCUCCCGAGUGCUGGGAUUAAAGGCAUGCGCCACCACCGCCCGGCCCAUUCUUUUCUUUUUUAAAGUCAGGCAUUGCCAUAAGAGCAAAUCUAGCCUAGGCUGUAGCACAAGAACUUGUCUCAAAAAAAAAAAAAAAAAGAGAAAGAAAGAAAACAGAGAGGGAAGACUGGAUUGAUUAGCAGUUAACUUUCUGUAACUCUAGCUUCAGGUGAUUCAACACUUCUGGUCUCUGAGGGCACCCGCACUCACAAGCACAUACAGCCGCUGCGGCACACGCACACACAGAUAAACAGAUACAUAAUUAAAAUUUAAAAACCUCUAAAAUAAUCGGAGUAAGAACCCUAAAAACCCAAGUCAGCACAUAGAAAGGUGCCAGUGCUGAACACAGAACGUCAUGCUAGGUCCCUAGAAAGGUGUUUGUUUCCGUGGGUUCUCUGUCCACCCCGUCCCUGUCCCAUGACCCUGACUGUACUAGAUAAGCAGGUGGUCACUGUGCUGAUCUCCAGCCCCAAAGCCUUGUUCAACAGUGCAUUGCUCGCUCUCCUGAGCAGAAGAUGGGGAUCUUAAGAUGAGAUUCCUGCUUACAUUCAUCUCUGGAAAAGAGAGUUGUGUUUCUUUUCUAAAAUAACAGAGCAAAGCUUAUGUGAUGUGUUGAGAGUGGGGAUUGUCCAGUAAGGCACUUUCUCUAUAGAAGAUUUCUAUUUCGGCCGGGCGGUGGUGGCGCACGCCUUUAAUCCCAGCACUCGGGAGGCAGAGGCAGGCUGGUCUCUGUGAGUUCGAGGCCAGCCUGGGCUACCAAGUGAGUUCCAGGAAAGGUGCAAAGCUACACAGAGAAACCAUGUCUCAAAAAAACCAAACCGAACAGAAAAUUUCUGUUUCUACCAAAUACUGGUGUGGGGAGACUACAGGGAGCGCACACGUGCCUGUAAACACCAGCGGGUGGUGACUGCAGAAAGACUCAACUCGUCAAAAUCCGAAUGGGGCCUAGGGGUACACAGAGUAGGAGCUGGGCAGUGUAGAGGAGAGUGCAAAGGUGGGGAGCGCGAGUCACCUCCUUCCUCUCCUGAGUAUGGGCAAGAGAAACCCAAGCAGCUGGACGUGAUGGCUCACAGGCUAAAAUGGCUUGCUACCCUUGCACAGGACCAGAGUUCAGUUUGAAGUGCCCAUAUGUCUCACAACCAUCUGUAUGUAAUUCCAGCUUCAGAGGAUCUUAUACCCUCUUGGUGCACUCACAUGUACAUAUGUACGUGUAAAAUUAUUUUCAUGAAAAAAAAUUUUUUAAAGAUAUAUUGCUGUAAGCUGGGCAGGGUGGCGCAUAUCUUUAAUCCCAGCACUCGGGAGGCAGAAGCAGGCAGAUCUCUGUGAGUCAAGGCCAGCCUGGUCUACAGAGCAAGUUCCUGGGCAGUCAGGACUACACAGAGAAACCCUGUCUGGGAAAAAACAAUAACAACAAAAAGAUGUAUUGCUGUUAUUUUAGGUAUGUGAGUGCUUUGCCUUCAUGUAUGUAUGUGCAUUAUGAAUGAUUUACAUAGUGAGUUCCAGGACAGCCAGGGCUGUUACACAGAGAAAUCCUAUCCAAAAAACAUUGAGCCUUCUCUCCAGCCCCAAAUGACAGAAAAUUUUUUUGAAUCUUAAGGGGGAGAAAAAAUACAUGCAUACUCAAUCUGUUGAAAGCCAGUAUACUCUGGGUUGUGCUUGAGUUCUGUUCUAACCCAUUUACUACAUUCUCUUCCUUUUCUCUUUGGAGGCAGAGUAUCUCUAUAUACCCAUUGCUAUCCUAGAAUUUGUUAUGUAGACCAGGCUAGCCAGGAAUACAUAGUAAGACCUUGUCUCAGAAAAUUGGCAUUGGCAACCCCUUCACACAGCUGGUGAGCAGCAACAUGAACUACAUGGACAAAGCUGGAGUUUAUCCUAGGUGAAUCUCCUUCUCACACUUAUUCCCAGAGAGCUGGCUGGCCACCUCCUUGUCACUACAUUGGCCCAUCUAGGUAUCCAGACAUUUCUGUGAUCCCCAUUUUAUCCCACAAAGAGUCCCCACUACCUAGUUCUAGACUCUCUACCACUAAGCCAUGUCCCUAGCUCUAUAAUUCACCUUUUCUUCAGAAAACAGUUCUGACUAUAGGUACAUACUCGCAUCCCACAAUCGGCUGGCCAUCUUCUCCUGGAACUCUGCACCUCUGGCCUACUUAAACAUCUUUUCUCCCCAGGAGGCAUCUGCAAGCCCAUGCUGUAAUUGUUCAUGUUCUUGUCCUUAGCACUUCAUACUUGUCCUCGCUACUCAGCUUCCCAUUUCCCUUUCCUUGUGUUUGAGUUAGGUUUCCUUCCUCUGAUCCGAUAGCACCUUCUAGACAAGAGCUGGCUAAAUGAAGCUUCCUCCCCUCUUGCUUGUCUAGCACUGGUCUGAUACAGUGCUGCUUGCUAAAUGGGGACUGGUUGAGGUCUCUUGGCACCUGUCCCAAAUUUGGAGAUUCUGACCAAUUCUUACUCUGUUGCUGCAUUAGUUUAUUCUAGGCCCUUGUGAAGCAGUCUAGAAGAGGUAAUUUGCAUAGUAGACUCUUGGCCAUUUUCCCACUGUGCCACAGCCAGGAAAUGUAUCUAAACCUCGAAGUGCAGGACUGCCCUUUUGGAGGAUUGCUACCGCUAUUGGCCUGACUGCCUACACUCAGGCACCAUCAAACAGCUAGGAACUUGUGGCUGUGCUGGGCACUGACCUAUGGGGAAGAUAAGGUCUUUCUAAGGCAGCUGCUUGUUCUUGGUUUCUAAACUUAGCCAACCAAGUCUGGGGCUUACACCUACUUUCUUCCCAUAGAAAGUACUUGAAGUUGGUGCUGGGGAGACCUCAGCAAUUGAGAGCACCAGCUGCUCUUCUGAAAACCUGAGUUUGAUUCCCAGCACCCACUUGGUGGCUUACAAACUCCUGUAAUUCCAGUUGCGGGGGAUCUGACACCUUCUGAGCUCAGUGAGUACCAGGCACGUAUAUACAUUGUGCACAUGUAUACAUACAUUAUUCACAUAUACAUGCAGGCAAAACACUCAUAUGUAUUAAACUAUUAGAGUUAGGUUUUUAAAAAGAAAAAAGUACUUAAGUCUGUUUGGAUUUGAAAGAUGUUUGGGUCUGCACUUUGCUGGGUACUAGUUUGUGUUUCCUGCCGUUGAGCAGCUCUUCGUUUUCAUGGACCCUGCUUUCUCCUUUCACAGUGAGAAGGACCGUGGUAAUCUGUCACUCCCAGUUUUCAUGUUAGAAAUCAUCCUAUUCUCUUUGGUUUCUAAAAAACAAUAUUUUAGUAACGUUGUGUUUUAAUUCCUGAAAGGAAACUGCUGCUUGUUUUCUUUAGUUUUACGUCAUGUUACUUAGAUCCCCACCUGAUGAGGGAUGGAUCCUCUUUAGAAGGCCAUAGGCAGGCAGCACUAUCUGAGCAUGGUGCUCCCCAGUGGGGGUUUGGUGCCCAGCAGUGACAAGAACUCCCGAGGAGCAGCUAGCCACGGGAGACACCUGUGAUAAUGGGUGACAACUGACUGCUGUUGAUUUGCUGUUGUCGUGACCACAGAUGUUUAAAAAUAAUUUGUAGGCAAAAGCAGUGGUGAUGUUUGUGUCUGUGCAGCACUUUGUUCUCAGUGGCAGACUUCAGAGACCACAGUCAUUGAGAAAAGAGGAAGGCAUUACCAUCCAGGGAAGAGGAGGGGUGCCUCUCCAGCAGCCUCAGGUGAGACGGCUAGUGCUUAGUGCAGGAAAACAGGUCCAGAGCCACAGGCCCCAAGGCUGGGCAGUUCCUGAAGGCUGAGUCGUGGUGUGUCCUAGUAGUUCCUGGCGGCAUGCUUCACCAGUGACGGUUAUCUUCAUGCCCACACAAGGGCGGCUCCUACUCCAUUCUCACACAGGGAAGUCUGAGUCUGAAUGGCUGGGUGCUGUCAGAGUUAAACUGAGCAAAGCUUGUGUCCCCAGUACCUGUUUAAGCAUCACCUCAAAAGUACCGGGAGACUGUGCAGUGACCCUGAUUGUGAGGCGCUGAAUGCUGCCAAUGGAAGAGACCAUUCUUUUAUCUGAACUUCGGGAACUCUGGGACCUUGUCUUACACCGCUUUCAAAGAUGGGGAAACUGAGGCCUACCACAGUCAGAUACAUAAUGAGCCACAUUGUCAGCCACUCGCCUUGUUUUUUCUUUGCAGGUCGUGUCCCUGCCCCCACUUCCCAGCAUCUGCCUGUGAGCUGUUGACAAGCCCCAGGCCCAGCUGCAGUGUUGUUAGAGCCUCACAUCUUUUCUCUGACUGUCAGAUCGUAGUCACGGGAAUGUCCUGUGCCAUCUUCCCUCUCAAGUGUGCUUGGCAGAGAGCAGCAGAUGCCCAGAUUCAAGGCCACGUGCCACUCAAGUGCUGGGCUGGAGAAAAGACUCUCUUUGCCUGCUACUUGUGACCAGGCAAACUGGGCUGAGUGCAGAGGCCUGUCAUCGUAGUUGUGUGACUGUUGUGCACUGGCCAAGCUGGACACAGCCCGUGGGCUCACACUGUUCGCCUUUGUGUUUGCCUCUGUUUUGUUUGGUUUUGUUUUCCUUCAUUAAUUAUGAUCUUUUUAUGCUAGUUAGAAUGUCCCCAUUAAAGGUAAGAGUCACUCAGGAAUCAUUUAUAGACAGAAAAAUCGUCUCUGGCAGAGACUGGAAUUUGAAUGGGAGUGUCAUAGAUUUUAAUCCAAUUGUUGAUAGAAAUGUAACUAAAAUUUUAGCUUGAAGAUUUUAGUAGCUGCAGGAUACUCUGUUCUGUUCAUAGUUAGCAUCCUAUUACUGAGAUUAGUCCCAGGUUUACUGUGGUAUAAAUAACGUGGUGGUGAACAUUUGUGCAUAAUCAGUCAAGUGCUAUGACAUGACCUUGUGUGGAGAAUCUUUUUGAAAGUCUUGUACCCCUGACUAGCCGAGGCCUCUAGCUCGUGGUGCUCCUAGAGCUUCUAUUGUAGGUUCUUAUUAGCAUGUUUUGUGUGAUUCACUGAGUGCUCAUGCCUCUGCUGAGCAUUAGAUGAGAUACAGGUCCUCUGCCUUUUGCUUGAGUAAUCUCAGUGUAAUUUGAUAGGCAAAAAAGGGCAUCUUAUUUUGAGUCAUUUCUGAGAAUUGGUCUUCUCCUUAACCCAUCAACAGCUUUCAUGUGGCUGUCUGGAGUUUUUCAAAAGCAAGUGAGAGACUGACAGUGAGAGACAGUGUCUUUCUCUCUUGAGCUGAUUCAUCAUAAGGGCAUUGAUGAAGUUUUAUUGGAGGGAUGAAAGGGUGAAGAGCUAGCUUUCUGUCGUUAUAACAAAUAACUUGAGGCAGAAAACUGUUUAGAGAAAAAGAUCCUAGUAUGGUGGUACUGGGGAGGUAUAGGCAGGAGGAUAACUGCAAGUUCUGGGCCAGUGUGGCCUGCCUAGUUAGUUUGUGACCAUCAGGGCUGCAUAAUGUGAUCCUCUCAAAAAAAAAGUUUGUGUGGGAGGGUCCAGUCUCUUGGAACUGACUGAGGAUACCACCAUGGAUGUACAUAGCUGAGCAAAACCUUUCACGGUUGUCAUAGUCAGGAAGCAAAGGAGGAGGAGAUUUGGAUUCCAUAAUCCCUAUCAGGUAUACCUUCAACAGCCUACUGGCCUCCCGGUCAUCCAAGCCAGGAACCAAGGCUUUAUCAUGUGAACACUUAGGAAAGCUGUGGGCAGGACUUGGAGUUCACACAGGGCAUCUGAGUGUCUUCAGGAAGACCACUGUGGCUCUGGCAUCCAGCAGGGGCUAGUAAGUAUGUCAUUUGUUGUAGCAGGAAUCUUAAAGAGUCUUUAUUAAUAAAACAAACCCAGAGCCAAGUAUUGGGGUGAACACUGGAAGAUCAGAGAGACAGAACAAGCCACAGCUAACUGGUCAACUUCUCGGCUGAUCUUGUUUCCUCCGACUGGAAGCCUCUGUGUCCUCAUAUCCGAAUGGCUCUCAGCUGAACUGUGCUGCUCAAAACCUAAAAGCUUAACCAGCCAAAUGCUUCUAGUUUCUGGUCCUCACGCUGUAUAUGCCUGCUUUCUACCACCACUCCCUGGGAUUAAAGGCUCGCUUUCUGGGGUUAAAGGCGUGAGUCACCAUGCUUGGCUGUAUCCUUGAACAGAUGGAUUUCUGCCUCUGGAAUGCUAGGAUUAAAGGCAUGUGCUACCACUGCCUAUCCUGAGUAUCUAGUGGCUUUUCUGUUCUCUGACCCCAGAUAAGUUUAUUGGGGUACACAAUAUUUUGGGGAACACAAUACCACCACAUUUCCUCUCUUUUUGUCUAAAAUUAAAAAAGCUUAUAACUAAUACAAGAAAAAUUAUAUCCAAUAAGUAUAUACAAUAUACAUAGUCAAGAUUACAUUAAUGAUGUCUAGUCCAUUAACAUUUGACAGAUUCAGACCAAAAAAAAAACUCCAUUAAUAUAUAACAAUGUUCAGUCCAGUAACAUUUGAUAAACUCAGACAAAAAAUUUCAUUACUUAUCUAUCCUAUGUAAAACAAGUAGUUCCUUUUUAAAAGAAGAUUUAAUUUCUACCUUUUGUCAUUUUUAUAUCUCCCCCUUUUUCUUUUUAGAGUAGAUUAAAUUAUCUACCCAUUUAUCUUAUUAUUUCUUUAUCUUUUUUCUCAGAGUAGACUCAGUGAUCUACCUCAAUUUGUUGAUUGUAGGGACCCCAUCUGAGGCCUGGGGUAGAGACCUGGGCUCAGAGAGUGUUAAUGAAAUAAGUAUACAUAUGCAUGGACUGAUGCUACUGAGACUGGACUUGAGGUCAAUAGGAAAACACUGGGCACUGAUCUGAGUAGCUGAAGAGAGGCCACCAGCUCAUAGUAGCCUCCAGGGACCCCUGUCCUCUGCCACAAGCUGUGUCCUACUACCUCUGAGCUUCAGGUACAACAUUGGCCUCCAAGAGAUGUGUUUUGGGGUUAUUUGAGGCAGGGUCUCCUGUAGUCCAGGCUGGCAUUAACUAUUAUGUAGUAAAAGAUGACCUUGGACUUGUAAUGGUCCUGCCUUCACCUCCUAAAUGAUGGGGUUAUAGACCUAUGCCACUCAAAGGGCUGCUUGUUUCUUUGUUUUGAAGUUCUGCCUCUAUCUGCAGAGUUGUGGGAUUGCAGGCAUGUACAGUGUCCUUGGAGGCUAGGAGAGGAUGUCAUAUUCCCCUGGAACUGGAGGUGGUGAGUCUGGAUCCUCUGGAAGAGCAUCAGCACCCUUAACCACUUGAGCCAUCUCUCCAGUCCCUUGGGUUGGUUUUUUGUUGGUUUGUUUCAAGACAAGGUUUCCCUGUGUAGUCCUGGCUGUCCUGGAACUUGCUCUGUAGACCAGGCUGGCCUCCACCUCCUGAGUGCUGGGAUUAAAGGUGUGCCUGCGCUACUACCAUCCAGCUAACACCAUCUUAAAGAAAAAAGAAAGAGAAACUGAGGUGAAAAGAGUGAAACAGAAAAAAGAAAGGGAGGGGGCUCAAUCUACACAGUUAAAUGAGUAACCGGAGCCAGUGCUGGCUGCCCUAGGGGGCGUGUGGGUUAGGAUACCACGCUGUCGGGGAGGGAGCGACAGAACUGGCAGGCAUCUUUUUGGUGUGUUCACACUGAACCACACACUAUCCUUGGGGCUUAAAUACCUUGACUGAGUGUUCUUGAGUGUCCAGUUUUCCAAAAGAGACUUUAGCCAUGUGGCUGUUCAUUGGUAUUCUGUGCUACCUUCUAACUUGCCAGCUCUCUGGGCCUGAGAUGACCUUGGCACAGAGAAGAUGCAGCCUAGCAGAAGGAACUAAGCAUGUGUGGCUCUGCCAGUCAGGGAGACUGGCUGCUGAGAAAAGCAUUCCCUGGCACCCCUAGACUUUCAGAGCUUCUGGAGUUGGCCAUGCUAGUCCCUGUGUGGUUUUUGUUGGUCACCCUUUUGAGAAUCCUCUGGGGAGGGGAGCAUUCUGUUUGUUCUUCCUGCCCAGCACUGGCCUGAGCACCACUCAGUACACAUGGACUGAAUGGGUGAUUUUUCAGUGUCAGGCCUGUAGUCUUCCCUUAGAUAGCUAGCUAUCGGAGGAGACCCAGUGUGGUAGUAUAUAGGCCUGCAUUCCUAGUUACUUGGAAGACGAAUUAGGACCAGAGGUCUAGGCCAGCCUGGGCUGCAUGGUAAAAUCUUAUUGGAAAACAAAGAAUAUCAGUUAGCCUGUUGGAAAUGUGUGCUUGCUUCCCAACUCUAGUUUCAGCACUGAGAAGGCUGAGGCAGGGGAAUCACUGGUAAAUGAGUUUAAGACUAGCCUGGGUAUCAUAAUGACACUCUGUAUCUAAAAAACAAAUGAAGGAAGCUUUCCUAAGUGAGCCAGUUAGGGAUGGAUGAGUUUCUUACCUCAGAGAGCACUAGGAAGAUGAGGCCACGUUGUCUGCCCAGAAAAGGGGAUUUUGAUACAAGUUCAAGCUCCCUGCCUUCAGUUGAGCCAGUUUUGAAGCUUGUGUUGGGGCUAGUUUGUAACACCCAAUUGUCUUCUAUUAAAUAAAUACUUGUGUGUGUACGCUGCUUAGUUUUGGUGAUUACAUUAAAUACAGUAUUUGACUGACUGGUUGUUGCUUCUGUGCUGGGGAUGGAACCCAGGGCCUGGCCCCUGCUGGAUAAAUACAUUAUUGCUGGGCACAUCCCUAGCCCCUGUCAUAAUAACAUUUAUUUUUGGCUUUUGAGACAGCAUCUCACUGUGUAACCCAGGCUAAACUUGAAUGUGAACUUACCAGUGUUCUUCUGUGUGACCACAACUGCUGGUAGCACUGAACUGAUGUUCUGAAUUCAGAUGAAGUUUGUGUAUAUUUAGAUAUUUUUGUAGAAAUUGUAUUAUGUUCACAUACACACAGAUUCUCUGUAAUAACAUGAAAAAAAAUUGUUUGGUUUUGUUUUUCUAGAUAGGGUUUCUCUGUGUAGCCCUGACUGUCCUGGAACACACUAUGUAGGCCUGGCUGGCCUCGAACUCAGAGAUUUCCACCUCUGCCUCCCUGAGUGGUGGGAUUAAAGGCAUAUGCCACCACUGCCUGGCAGAAACUUAUCUGCAAAGUUUGUCUUUUUCAUCACAUGGACUAGUCCUAAACUUAAGCGGAGACAUCGGUUUAUCUUCAUCAGUAGAUGUCAUCAUCCUUCUAUACUUGGGCAACCUGAGUAAACUAGCUCAGAUGAAGUUAAUCAAGUUUAGAACUCAUUUUGUAGUGUUUUUAUGUUAUCGGAUGAGUCAUCUUUUGGCAAAGCAGUUCUCCACCCAUCCCAGUGUUUGAUCUGAACGAAUUAUAGCCCAAACUGGUGAGGAGGUGUGCUUCAGAAAUGCAGAGUCAACAGCCGUGCUCGUGUGUGGCUGACUGUUUAAGAGCUUCAGAAAGCAGAACAAAGAGCAGAAUGUAAUAAGAACUUGUCAGGGGCUGGGGUCAGUCCUUUCUGGAACAUGAGUUUCUUCCCGCCCCCUUCACCUCUGCUAAUGAGUGCUGACAUUCGAAAAAGAGGAAAAAAGACAGCUUCUGUUUGCUUUACUGCAAAUAAGUGGCCCUGCUGUUGGCCGCCUUCCCAGUGGCCCUGAGAGUACCUCAGAUGUGGUCAGUGAGGUAUGUGCACGGUGCCAGCCUGCCGGCCUCAUCCAGGCAGACUGCACCCGGAAUGGCCAGGCCGCUGCCUUCUGCCUUUGCUCUUCCUCUUGGUGCCACCUGGUUUCUUUCUGAGGCAAAGCUGAUGUUACUCUCUGAAGACAGAUGGACAAGGGGUUCUGCUCCCUCUGCUCAUCCUCUGCUCUAGUAACUUGCAGUGGAUGUUACCUUUUUGAGCAUUCAAGACCAUCUGGGAAAUGCGUCUUGCAAAAAUGUAGUCCAGUGCGGCAAAGGACCAGACCACAUGGCACCUUUAGUGCCAAAUUCCUGCAUGGUUCCGCCACUUUUGGAUUCCAGAAGCAGGCCUACGUUUACACUCCUGUUCCUUUUCCCUUAGCAGUUAACUGAGUCAUCUCUCACUGGAUGUUUCUUCCUCUCACCAUCCUCUCGGAUUACUCUUGUGAAGAUAGUGAUAUGUGUAGGCUGUUGAGCAUGGCUCCUUACACACAGCAGGGUCUAUCACUGUUUGGACUUUGUUCAACACUGUGGGGGUUGUGCCCUGUCUUCUCAGGAGUCACUGACAAUGUGCAAGAGCCACCCAGAAAAAUUGCUGUGGCUAGACUGUCUGGUGUCUGAGUUUCUCUGUUUUCGUGGGACAUUGGGGAAGAGGCUUUCUGCAUAACAGAGUGCAGCUGCCACUCCAGCCAGUCCCCAGAUGCCAAAUCAAGUGUCUUCAUUGCAUGCACAUUUGGUGUGUGGGUAGAAGCCGAGCUCAUGUGGCAGUGCAUGGUGGCUGGCCUCUAGCUUGUCAAGUGCUCAGACAGCACUAAGGGGUUCAGUGAUGCCCUUGGAGAGGCUGACAUACCAGACCACACACAAUACCCCGAAUGAGCAAUAAUUCCAACACAGAAGAGGUGCCAGAGAAAUGGAGACCCUUCAGUAGAGACUCCCCAGAAAUCAUAGUCUUUUCUUCUACCUGCUCAGACUUUGGUGGAGGCCCAUUGCCCCUGUGAAUUUUCUGUUAAUGAAUGUUGCCUCAAUCAUAAGCUUUCCAGAUGCAGAAAUCAAGACCUACUCACUAGUUUACUUUCAUACCUAGGUGCCUGGCACCAAGUAAGUGCCUCUGGGGCUGGUCAAAUAAAAGAAUUUGUGCUACUUGGAAACUGAGACUCAGUCUUGGGUGCUCAUUUGCCAAGCUGUUUGUCAGUCUUAGAGUAAUAGGAUGUGCUUUAAAAAAGAAAAUC